Molecule: ribosomal RNA, 399 nt
Filed under: uncultured bacterium
Lineage: Bacteria
Description: partial 16S ribosomal RNA
Rfam family: Bacterial small subunit ribosomal RNA
Source: RNAcentral
AACGAACGCUGGCGGCAGGCUUAACACAUGCAAGUCGAACGAGUGGCAGACGGGUGAGUAACGCGUGGGAACAUACCCUUUCCUGCGGAAUAGCUCGGAAACUGAAUUAAUACCGCAUAGGGAAGGAUUGGCCCGCGUUGGAUUAGCUAGUUGGUGGGGUAAAGGCUACCAAGGCGACGAUCCAUAGCUGGUCUGAGAGGAUGAUCAGCCACAUUUGGACUGCGACACGGCCCAAACUCCUACGGGAGGCAGCAGUGGGGAAUAUUUGACAAUGGGCGCAAGCCUGAUGCAGCCAUGCCGCGUGUAUGAAGAAGGCUUCGGGUUGUAAAGUACUUUCAGCGGGAGGCGUUACCGCAGAAGAAGCACCGGCUAACUCCGUGCCAGCAGCCGCGGUAAUUC